AACGAACGCUGGCGGCAGGCCUAACACAUGCAAGUCGAACGCCCCGCAAGGGGAGUGGCAGACGGGUGAGUAACACGUGGGAACGUACCCUUCGGUUCGGGAUAACUCAGGGAAACUUGAGCUAAUACCGGAUACGUCCGAGAGGAGAAAGAUUUAUCGCCGAGGGAUCGGCCCGCGUCUGAUUAGCUUGUUGGUGAGGUAACGGCUCACCAAGGCGACGAUCAGUAGCUGGUCUGAGAGGAUGAUCAGCCACAUUGGGACUGAGACACGGCCCAAACUCCUACGGGAGGCAGCAGUGGGGAAUAUUGGACAAUGGGCGCAAGCCUGAUCCAGCCAUGCCGCGUGAGUGAUGAAGGCCCUAGGGUUGUAAAGCUCUUUUACCCGGGAAGAUAAUGACUGUACCGGGAGAA
Molecule: ribosomal RNA, 410 nt
Filed under: uncultured bacterium
Lineage: Bacteria
Description: bacterial SSU rRNA
Rfam family: Bacterial small subunit ribosomal RNA
Source: RNAcentral